This is a long non-coding RNA of Colias croceus (clouded yellow), 632 nucleotides long. RefSeq lists it as uncharacterized. The transcript has 2 exons. The record is from RefSeq and is a predicted model, not a curated record. Lineage: Eukaryota; Metazoa; Arthropoda; Insecta; Lepidoptera; Pieridae.
UUAAUGAUAGAGGAAAGUCACCAAAUAUGGAAUAGUAUCCUAAUAUGGAAUUCCUUCUUUUCUCUAAGACUAUAAGUAUGAAUCACAACAUUCGUCCAUCUUCUGUUUCAUUUGGUGUACUAAAUGUUGCACUAACACCAUCGAGUUAGUUGCGCGAACGGUUUACAUGUAGCAGGCGUGUUUUGUUUUGCUGCCGUGCAGAAAUUUUUUAAGUAUCAUACAUGCAUCAGCAGAGUCAGGAGGUUCUGUUCAAGACUUCUUUCCAUGGAUGAAUGUGGAGAAAGUUGAAUUAAAUGCUUGAUGUAUGGGCUCUGAACACAUUAUGAUGUGCUGUUCCAGAUGGAUCUGGAUUUGUGACUUUUGCAAGUAAUUACAUAACUUCUUUCAUUUAUCACAAUAUGUUAUAUUCAUUUAAUUGAUCUCAAAGAUAUUCAUUACAUUUUUGUCAUUGUUAUGUAGAUUUUUGCUUAUAUUCCAUAUAUGGGUACCUAUUCCAUAUUUGGUUACUCUUUUGUGAUUUUGUUUUUUGUGUAAGAUUUUAAUUUGAUUACUGAUAUAUUUGGUUAAAGGCUGUUAAUUACUACUUAUAGAUGUAUGACUGAUCAGUAAAAACAAUAAACUGAUUUAAUUUA